AUAACUUGCUUGGGGCCCUUGGGGAGUCCAUCUUCCUCUCUGAAGAAAGAUCCAGAGAGUUCGGGAGUUCUGAGUCUGGCUAGGCCUCUUCUUUCUCCAGCGUGGGAGUCUGCUCCCAGGGUCAUCCUGGAAGAACUCAGGAAGGACAGGGUGGGCCAGCCUAAUCCAGUGAUCUCAGAUACUUGUCCAUGCAGCAGUUCACACUGCAGUCACCUGAAGGCUCCACCCAGCAAGAUGUAUAAUGAGACACUCAACAUAACCACCAGAGAACACCUAUUGGAAGUGGGGUGCCAUUAUACCUCUGCCCGCCCAUCAGAAAGGCACAAUGAAGAUGGGAGUGUGCCAGGUUGGUAAACUAUGGAUAUAACCAAUAGAACCACUUUGCCGACUCUUGAGACAGCCCCAACAAAAGCUGGAUACGAACACCCUACAAUCUAGUCCUGGACCCAGCCAACAGACAGAUGGAAUACUCUAAAGCAAUGAAAAAGGCAAACAAACGGCUGUGUGCAAAAUACACGUGAGCGUCCUAAAGACAGCGGAGAACGGAGGAGACCGGAGACAAAGGGCACAGAUUGGGACUCUGUUCCGAAUGACGUUCCAAACCAGGCAAAGGCAGCUUCACUGCCUGGAAGCAGGACUGGGGGUACUGGAAGGGAGUGUUGGCGCUUCUGGGGUGCUGGUCUUUCUUACAUUGGUUGCUGGUUCCAAUGGGUGUGGCACUUUAACACAGUUCCGAGUGCUGUGCUGACCUCCAACCAUAAAAUUAUUUUUGUUGCUAGUUCAUAACUGUAAUUUUGCUAUUGUUAUGGAUCCUAAUGUAAAUAUCUGAUAU
This 832-nucleotide long non-coding RNA is filed under the name Mus pahari (shrew mouse). RNAcentral describes it as "lncRNA (MGP_PahariEiJ_G0003218.1)". The record is from RNAcentral. Lineage: Eukaryota; Metazoa; Chordata; Mammalia; Rodentia; Muridae.